GAGGAAUCCGUCACAGGAGAGCUCAGAAUACCAUCAUAUAAUAACGAAAUAUAACCAUGAACUGAAAUAUGUGUGGAACUGAAAUGUUUCCGCGUGAUUCUACACAGUAGAAUGAACAGAUUAGCCACAGAAUUAGAGAAAAUUCUUACCAAGCUGAUCCCAAAGCUGUCUACAUUUAUCAGUCAUUGGAGUGCCUUGAUUUUUCCACAUCUGCAGUCUAGGAUCUGAUAGGAACUGUAAGCCCCUUGAGAGAGAUACGAUUUAACUUGUUCACAAACUUGCUCCUCAUCAAGAUGCCAGGUAUGGUCAUCAUCUGCCGAAGCUCCUGCUGUUGGAUCUGGUGCUCCGGGAAUUUGAUUUAUUUCCGACCUUUGCUGAAGAAUUUCAUCAGCUAGUUUUUGGGCUGUCGGAAGCACUUCUGUGUGGUGUUCUGAGAUCAGACAAAUCACCAGCCAAUAUAUAUUUAAAAGGGAGAUACACAAAUUGCUAAUGAACCGUGAGCCUUACACAAUGCAGGAUUUCCUAAAUCCUUCUAUUUAACUGUAAAAUUAAAAAAUGCUUCUGUUUUUCUAUUUUUGACUGUAUUUUCGUUCUGAUUGUGUGUAUUUGAGAUGUACAUAUGGGAU
Molecule: long non-coding RNA, 626 nt
Organism: Harmonia axyridis
Lineage: Eukaryota; Metazoa; Arthropoda; Insecta; Coleoptera; Coccinellidae
Exons: 3
Source: RefSeq, a predicted model, not a curated record